Molecule: ribosomal RNA, 1678 nt
Filed under: Clostridium botulinum
Lineage: Bacteria; Bacillati; Bacillota; Clostridia; Eubacteriales; Clostridiaceae
Description: partial 23S ribosomal RNA
Rfam family: Bacterial large subunit ribosomal RNA
Source: RNAcentral
GGAGCUUUCUGUAUGGGUUGAAGUCGUACCGUAAGGAGCGGUGGACUGUACAGAAGUGAGAAUGCUGGCAUAAGUAGCGAGAAAUAAGUGAGAAUCUUAUUGGCCGAAAACCUAAGGUUUCCUGAGGAAGGUUCGUCCGCUCAGGGUUAGUCGGGACCUAAGCCGAGGCCGAAAGGCGUAGGUGAUGGACAAUCGGUUGAUAUUCCGAUACCACCUAUUUACGUUUGAGAAAUGGGGUGACGCAGUAGGAUAAGAUGUGCGCACUAUUGGAUGUGCGUCUAAGCACUUAGGCAUGCUUGAUAGGCAAAUCCGUCGAGCUAAGCUGAGGUGUGAUGGGGAGCCAUUUAUGGCGAAGUAUCUGAUUCCACACUGCCAAGAAAAGCCUCUAUCGAGUGAAUAGGUGCCCGUACCGCAAACCGACACAGGUAGGUGAGGAGAGAAUCCUAAGGCCAUCGGAAGAAUUGCUGUUAAGGAACUCGGCAAAUUGACCCCGUAACUUCGGGAGAAGGGGUGCCUACGAAAGUAGGCCGCAGAGAAUAGGCCCAAGCAACUGUUUAGCAAAAACACAGGUCUCUGCUAAAGCGAAAGCUGAUGUAUAGGGGCUGACGCCUGCCCGGUGCUGGAAGGUUAAGGGGAACACUUAGCGUAAGCGAAGGUGUGAACUUAAGCCCCAGUAAACGGCGGCCGUAACUAUAACGGUCCUAAGGUAGCGAAAUUCCUUGUCGGGUAAGUUCCGACCCGCACGAAUGGCGUAAUGAUUUGGGCACUGUCUCAACAGCAAAUCCGGCGAAAUUGUAGUGCAAGUGAAGAUGCUUGCUACCCGCGAUUGGACGGAAAGACCCCGUAGAGCUUUACUGUAGCUUAGCAUUGAAUCUCGGUAUUGUCUGUACAGGAUAGGUGGGAGACUUGGAAGCUUGGGCGUCAGCCUGAGUGGAGUCAUCCUUGGGAUACCACCCUGACAGUACUGGGGUUCUAACCGGCGGCCAUGAAUCUGGUCACGGGACAUUGUUAGGUGGGCAGUUUGACUGGGGCGGUCGCCUCCUAAAAAGUAACGGAGGCGCCCAAAAGUUCCCUCAGCGCGGUCGGAAAUCGCGCGAAGAGUGCAAAGGCAGAAGGGAGCUUGACUGCGACACAUACAGGUGGAGCAGGGACGAAAGUCGGGCUUAGUGAUCCGGUGGUACCUCGUGGGAGGGCCAUCGCUCAACGGAUAAAAGCUACCUCGGGGAUAACAGGCUGAUCUCCCCCAAGAGUCCACAUCGACGGGGAGGUUUGGCACCUCGAUGUCGGCUCGUCGCAUCCUGGGGCUGAAGUAGGUCCCAAGGGUUGGGCUGUUCGCCCAUUAAAGCGGCACGCGAGCUGGGUUCAGAACGUCGUGAGACAGUUCGGUCCCUAUCCGUCGCGGGCGUAGGAAAUUUGAGAGGAGCUGUCCUUAGUACGAGAGGACCGGGAUGGACCAACCUCUGGUGCACCAGUUGUCACGCCAGUGGCACAGCUGGGUAGCUAUGUUGGGACUGGAUAAACGCUGAAAGCAUCUAAGCGUGAAGCCAACCUCAAGAUGAGAUUUCCCAUAGCGUAAGCUAGUAAGACUCCUGGAAGAACACCAGGUUGAUAGGUCAGAGAUGUAAGCAUGGCAACAUGUUAAGUUGACUGAUACUAAUAAGUCGAGGGCUUGACCAAA